This 482-nucleotide ribosomal RNA is filed under the name Mangeliidae gen. 2 sp. NP-2008. RNAcentral's name for it is "partial 16S ribosomal RNA". It matches the Rfam family "Bacterial large subunit ribosomal RNA", at positions 1845 to 2598 of the family's 2925-position model. Lineage: Eukaryota; Metazoa; Mollusca; Gastropoda; Neogastropoda; Conidae. The record is from RNAcentral.
AUAUAAGGUCGAACCUGCCCGGUGAAUAUUUCAACGGCCGCGGUACUCUGACCGUGCAAAGGUAGCAUAAUCAUUUGCCUCCUAAUUAGAGGCUAGUAUGAAUGGUUUGACGUGAGCAUAUCUGUCUCUUUAUAAUUAGUUAGAAUUUUAUUUAGAAGUGAAAAAGCUUUUAUUAAAUUAAUAGACAAGAAGACCCUAUCGAGCUUGAUGUUAAGUAGUAAGCAAGUCUAUACUUAAGAGCACAUUAUUAUAAGAUUUAGUUGGGGCAACUGAGGAGCAAAUAGAGCCUCCUUUAUGAAAUUACAGAAUUAUUGUUAUUGAUCCAUUUUUUGAUUAAAAGAAAUAGUUACCGUAGGGAUAACAGCAUAAUUCUUCUUGAGAGUCCAUAUCGAAAGGAGAGUUUGUGACCUCGAUGUUGGACCAGAAUGUCCUAAAGAUGCAGAAGUCUUUAAGGGUUGGUCUGUUCGACCAUUAAAAUUCUA